GAGGCCUUAGCUUAAUUAAAGUAUAUGAUUUGCAUUCAUUGGAUGUGUAUUAAUGUUACACAGGUCUUG
Molecule: transfer RNA, 69 nt
Filed under: Sceloporus grammicus (Graphic spiny lizard)
Lineage: Eukaryota; Metazoa; Chordata; Lepidosauria; Squamata; Phrynosomatidae
Description: tRNA-Ala
Rfam family: tRNA
About the family: Transfer RNA (tRNA) molecules are approximately 80 nucleotides in length. Their secondary structure includes four short double-helical elements and three loops (D, anti-codon, and T loops).
Source: RNAcentral